UUUCCGUAGGUGAACCUGCGGAAGGAUCAUUACAGUAGUCGCCUGGGUUGCCGCAAGGCCUCCCGGGUAACCUACCACCCUUUGUUUAUUACACUUUGUUGCUUUGGCAGGCCUGCCCUCGGGCUGCUGGCUCCGGCCGGCGAGCGCUUGCCAGAGGACCUAUACUCUGUUUGUCUAUACUGUCUGAGUACUAUAUAAUAGUUAAAACUUUCAACAACGGAUCUCUUGGUUCUG
RNAcentral lists this unclassified non-coding RNA (234 nucleotides) under plant metagenome. RNAcentral's name for it is "partial contains small subunit ribosomal RNA, internal transcribed spacer 1, and 5.8S ribosomal RNA". The record is from RNAcentral.